AAGAAGAAGCUAAGAAUAAGAAUAGGGGCUGCUUGUUAGGCAGCCCAGCAAGAGAGCACCUGUCAGCCGGAGCCUCCCGUGAACCUUUCAGCAACGUUGUCAGCGGCAUUGCCUCUUCCUCUGACCGGUCCCAGUCCAACCAAACCCAGCCAACAGGAAGCAGCCUGGAUUGUGCUAUCAUUCAGUCAGUCGACAAACGCUGAGUCUAUACUGCACACUCUGCACCUGAUUCCCUACUGGAAACCAAGCUUCUUCCAGGGAACGGGGUGGGACAGGAACCGAGGGGUCAUGUGCCCUGGGCUGGGCCGGAGAAGAGGGUCAGGACAGCCCUCCACUGCCAGGCCCGGAGUGUACCCUGCACCUGAGCCCGUGGUGAUGCACCUGUCACCGCAAAACAUUCUACAGUGAUCAGGGGAACUUCUACCAUGAUUUAGGCAAACGAGUGUUGGCUGUGUGAUGGAGAUGGUGAUUGUGGUUUACACAAGAUUCACAAACUCAUCAAUGUGCACUAAAGGACAAUCCUAAAAAAAUCGAUUCUGCCCACAGAUACCUGGUAUGAUCUGAGUCUUUCUCAACUCUAAAGCCAGAACAGAUACUGCCCACCCUCUGGGGGAAGGAUCCCUUCUCUCCCCAGUGCAGGUGGGACAACCUGGGGUGUGGCUCCCCUGCUCCCCUCUCUGCCCAAAGCAUCCAUCCAUCCAUCCAUCCAUCCAAGUUCUUGGGAGCACCUCCCGCUUGCCACUGGGGACUUUCUGGAAGCUGGGAGACGCUGGCCCGGGACCCAGCCAGAUUAUUCUCAAUAGCCCCUUCUCUCAAAGGGAGGCAGUAGGCUGCGGGCUUCCCAACCCAGGGGUGAAGAACAAAGAGAUAGGACAGCAGCACAAGGACCCAGCGUGCCUGCUUCCCGGCCCUGCGCUCGGCCGCUCCACAGAGAGGGCGACGCGCUGAAAACCUCCGGCCACACACCAGCAACCUCAGCAGCAGCUGCAGCCUCCUCCCCCGAGGACGGCUGGUGCAGGAGCAAGAAGAACAAACCCCGGUAACAACAGCCUCCGCUCUCACCUCCCAGGUGCUUCCCAGGAGCCAGGCUGAGGGCACCACAAGUUCGCUUCAGCCUCACGACCACCUUUGAGGCAGCCACUGUUACUACCCCCCGUUUUCAGAUGAGAAACCACUUAGCCGCUGCCCCUCCUCCAGCCAUGCCAGGGCUGCAGAGCACUUACCAGAGCCAGCCAGAGCUGCAACCUCAGCUCUCAGGGAAGGAGGGUGCUGCUCGGCCUCCCAAACCUGUGGCUCCUGCGCCCAGAGGUCUGGGAAACGGCUCCACAAAUGCACAUUCACAGCCAGCGACGUCAAAACUAGCGUCCUGUAACUGUUCCGUUUUCAAAAUAAAGAAGGAAUGGAGGGUCGUGCCGCUCGCCACGCAGUCCUGGCCUGGCAUUAGGGACUUGUUUUGAGAGUCGGAGCAACCUUGAACUAGUCCCCAACUCUCCUAGGCCUCUCGUUCCUGGGUCCCCAAACCUGGAGUAGGCGUUGGCGUCGAGGGGGGCUUCUGGGUCAGCCAGGUCCCAGCCUUUCUUCUCAACUGGGGGUUCCUCAGGGAACCACAAAACGCAGAUAACUAUGAGUGUCUAUUUCCUUUUUUUUUCUGAGAUGGAGUCUCACUCUGUCGCCCAGGCUGGAGUGCAAUGGCGCGAUCUCAGCUCACUGCAACCUCCGCCUCCCAGGUUUAAGCGAUUCUCCUGCCUCAGCCUCCCGAACAGCUGCAAUUGCAGGCACCUGCCAUUGCGCCCAGCUAAUUGCUGUAUUUUUAGUAGAGUCGGGGUUUCGCCAUGUUGGCCAGGCCGGUCUUGAACUCCUGACCUCGUCAUCCACCUGCCUCGGCCUCCCAAAGCACUGGGAUUCCAGGUGUGAGCCACCGCGCCCGGCCACCAGUGCCUAUUUUCUCACUUCCCUUCGUACCACCCUAAAUGCACAGGAGAGAAGACCCACAAGAGAGAAACGCACAGGAGAGAGUCGCAUACAGCAGAUAACUAGAACGAUAGGUUUCAUUCUCUCCCAGACCCUGGCUGAGAAGAACAGCGAGGUCUAGGUAUGCAUCCAGGCUGCGGCCCAAAUGCCCUGCAGAAACCAUCACAGCAGCUGCCCGCGGGACGCCAACAAGCUGUGGGGCCGGCCCAGCCUGGAAUGAGCAGCCACUGCCAGAGGGGCCCUCGUAGCCCUGCCUGGGGUCGCUUGAAAGCUCUGACCCCUGAGUCAAGGCACUGAAGUGUGGCCACCCCAUCAGUUCUGCACAACAGUUGACAAAGAGCUUUCCCAAACCUGCUCUCGCAGGCCGGGAAGCAACCCUGGGCAGUGGGAGGGCAGAGACUGUCACCCAUUUUACAGCAACAGAGUCUCACCAUCUUGCCAGGCUGGUCUCAAACUCCUGAGUUCACGUGAUCCCCCCACCUCAGUCUCCCAACAUGCUGGGAUUACAGACAUGAGCUACCACACCCAGCUCCAGAAGUGCUCACUUCUAAACUCCUACAGGAACUUCAACCAGUGCGCUUCCUAUGGCAACGGGCACAGUACUCAUAGCCACAAUGAUGACAACAGUAAUGGCUGUGAAUAUGUGUUGAGUGCGUAUAACGUCCUGGGCGUUGGCAUGAGCACUUUAUAUGCACUAUCUCAUCAGACCUCACUAAGAGUUCAUGAGAUUUAAGCGGCUCCAGGGUGAGAUAAAUAAGGCUCUCGUGCCUGCCCGCCCCUCUCUGAACCUAGCCUGCACCUUGCUCAAAGCAGCACUCAGGAAACGUUUGUUGGCGUGGUUUUCGGCUUUAUCUGAACAGCACCUUCACCGAAUGAUUCUACUGAAACUCUCGACAUGGUGGCGGGGACAAGACCUCAGGGCUGGCCAUCACUGCCAUCAGUGUGGUUUUCUGGGUCAUCAUUUGAAACAGGAUGUUCUUGCAUUUAUGUAAUGAUGUACCCAUUAAAACUCCUUGUGAGUAGAAAAGUUUUAAUGACUUCUGGGAGGGAGGGUGUUUUUCUAAGUUCGGGUUUGAUGGGAGCCAGAGGCAGCUCAGGAAAGCGUCUGCGGACGCGCCA
Molecule: long non-coding RNA, 3090 nt
Organism: Symphalangus syndactylus (siamang)
Lineage: Eukaryota; Metazoa; Chordata; Mammalia; Primates; Hylobatidae
Source: RefSeq, a predicted model, not a curated record